UUAUUUUUUUUUAAUUAAGAUACUAGAAAGUGUAAAAAUCUUGAAUUUAUAUUAAUACUUUGUUCAUUAAUUUUUGAAGUUCUAUUUUUCUAUAGGAUUUGUUAAAUAUUUGUUUAAAAUCUAAGAUUUGAUUAGGAUUUGAUUAGGAUUUGAUUUUAGAUUUAGUCUAGGAUUAGGUUAAGAUUAGGAGUUUCUUGAGAUUUGGUUAAGAACUUGACUAGGGAUUGAUUAAGUUUGUCUAGAGUUCGUCU
Molecule: long non-coding RNA, 251 nt
Filed under: Physcomitrium patens
Lineage: Eukaryota; Viridiplantae; Streptophyta; Bryopsida; Funariales; Funariaceae
Description: long non-coding RNA (PPAT_LNC002236)
Source: RNAcentral